CUACGGGAUGCUCCAGUCGGGAAUAUUGCGCAAUGGAGGAAACUCUGACGCAGUGACGCCGCGUAUAGGAAGAAGGUUUUCGGAUUGUAAACUAUUGUCGUUAGGGAAGAUAAAAGACAGUACCUAAGGAGGAAGCUCCGGCUAACUACGUGCCAGCAGCCGCGGUAAUACGUAGGGAGCAAGCGUUAUCCGGAUUUAUUGGGUGUAAAGGGUGCGUAGACGGGAAGACAAGUUAGUUGUGAAAUCCCUCGGCUUAACUGAGGAACUGCAACUAAAACUAUUUUUCUUGAGUGUUGGAGAGGAAAGUGGAAUUCCUAGUGUAGCGGUGAAAUGCGUAGAUAUUAGGAGGAACACCGGUGGCGAAGGCGACUUUCUGGACAAUAACUGACGUUGAGGCACGAAAGUGUGGGGAGCAAACAGGAUUAGAUACCCUAGUAGUC
RNAcentral lists this ribosomal RNA (440 nucleotides) under uncultured bacterium. Its description in RNAcentral is "partial 16S ribosomal RNA". It matches the Rfam family "Bacterial small subunit ribosomal RNA", at positions 339 to 795 of the family's 1533-position model. The record is from RNAcentral.